Long non-coding RNA from Apis florea (little honeybee), 459 nucleotides. The record is from RefSeq and is a predicted model, not a curated record. NCBI's taxonomy places the organism in Eukaryota, Metazoa, Arthropoda, Insecta, Hymenoptera, Apidae.
CAAAUUUAUCUUGGUUUUCAGGUUGAUUGGAGCGAAGGACGGUAAUCAUGGAUGAUUGAAAAUCGGUAGAAUUAAAAAGGGAGUUAAGUGGAACGUCUUGGUACUAUAUACGGAUAAAAAUAUCUUGGAAAAGAAGAAAUCGUUGAGAGGAAUAGAAAUCGGUCCCAUUUUCCAGCGAUGAAGAGAACGAAUCGACGAAUGAAACGAAUGAAGAGAAAAAGAUUAUUUGGGACGAUUCUUCGAUUCGUCUAAUAUCAAUUCUACGAGAUCAACUUGCAGGACAUGUUUCGCUGUUAAACAAAAGAAAAAGAAAUUUUCAAGCGGACUUAUAUUGGAGAUUAUCAUGGGAUGAGAAACGAUGAAACUUUCUGGAUUGUUGUAACACGAUAUAUUUUUUACAGUCGUCUUAUCGUAAAAUUUCAAGAGGUCUUUUUGAAAACGUGGCUAACCCACUGGAAA